Populus trichocarpa (black cottonwood) is the source of this 3836-nucleotide long non-coding RNA. RefSeq lists it as uncharacterized. The transcript has 2 exons. NCBI's taxonomy places the organism in Eukaryota, Viridiplantae, Streptophyta, Magnoliopsida, Malpighiales, Salicaceae. The record is from RefSeq and is a predicted model, not a curated record.
UCAUGCGUCUCCUAAGGUUGGUUUUUACUUGAAUACAAUAAUUUGAGAUUUGAAAAUCUUGGAGGCAGCCAAGUGUGAGCCCAGGCUUACUUGGUGAAGUUAUAGUUUAUUGGGAUAUAGAAUUAGGGAAGGUUAGGGCUGUAAGGGAUAUUAGCUAGUGGCUGGUGAUGCUUUCAAAUUAUACAGGUAGAGAUGACUAGCUGUUGGUUGGUUUCUUUUGGUUUAAAUGCUGGGUUUAGCUUUUGUUGUGCAGUUCUGGAACGUUCAACCUAAAACUGUUUUGAUGCUGGUAUAGCAUUCAUGCAUAGGGUUCCACUGUUCACUUGUAGAAUUGCUAGUAUGGCUACUCUGAUUCACCCAAAUGAAUGGAGUAAACACACUUGAAUUAUUUCUUAUAUUAAUACUGUCAUUAAAAUGAUGCACUGCUUCGAAUCACACAUACCUUAUGGAUUUAAGUGUGAAGAUAAAAAGUCCAUUGUGGUUGGUCUAUCUUCUGUUCGAAUAUGCUUCCCUGUUUAUUUUGUAAAUCUGCCUCACUGCUUGUAGUUGUUGAUAGUGCUGUCAGCGGACUCUGCUUGCAUAGGUGAUCUUUAAUGUUAUUUUCCCGUCAUAUAUUAAUAUGGAAAAUGAUCAUUGCGACUUUGUGAGAGACCUUUACCCCCAUCCAAACUAAUCACUUUUUCUGCUCUUAUCUUCAAUGUUGAUUAUGUUAUGAUGCAUAAUAUUUUUCAAGUUCUGGUUAUGGCUUUUAUUUUACACACAGAUCAUGAACAUGAAAAUUGCUCUUAUUAGCAUCUAACUACUUUCAGAUUUGCUAAGCCCCCCCUGUUCCCCGAUAUAUGCUAGCAUUUGCACAUAUUUCCAUCUUUUCUCCUUGUGUUUGCCCGAGUUUUCAUAUUUUAAAAGGGGAUCACAUCAAAAUGUUGUUUUUAUCAAAUGGUUUUCUUACAGUCUUAAUGAAUCAAUCUAACUCGGAUUUUUUAAGGGUUCUAUGAAUCGAUGUGAUUUUUUUAGGGUUCUGUGAAUCCAUUCAAUCUUCUUAAUUUGUUUGUAUUAGUGAAGUCUGCUGGCUGGCUUAGAAGUUUUAAGUACCCCACCCAAUGAAAAGUCUCAUGCCCAUACCACAUAUUGUCGAGAUUGCUCACGGGAAGAGACAGUGAUUUAAAUAAUUAAUAGUCUGCUGCACUUGCAUAUGAACCGGUUCUUGUUUGGUUCAAGCCAAUUUUUAGCCGGUUCUGGCGAUGCUUGCUAGGUUAAUUGCACAAACAAACCAUAUCCUCAGACCGAACUGGUCCAAGAUUUGGCUCACCUGUUCAUUAGUUGGACUGGUCGGUCUGGUUUGAUAUCUAUGCAAAUGGGUUCCACCAUCAAUUUCUUUCAACAUUAUAUUUUAAGUUAUUUAAGUAAAUAUAUUUUUUUAUUUUUUGAAGAGUGAAUUCGGAGAAAAGAACUUGCUGACCUAAAAUGAGCAUUUCUUUUACGCAAGAGAUUAGAAAAAGUAUCAAUUACAAAGAGGGUUGAAAGCGACAGGGAGGCCCUAGGACUUGGUAGUGGGUUUAGGAGCUCCAAAGCCCAUAAGACUGUGCAUUGAAACUUGAAAGCUUUUGAUUUUGAUAGUGGCGUCCCUGUCUUCAUAGAAAUCUCGUUAACCUUAUCUCAUAAGAAGACAAUUCCAGAUAUAUUGUGCUUGCUUGUCCUUUUGCUGAUCAUAAUGUUUUCCUGAACUGGACAGGCUAUUUUUGUUGGCUUUUGCAACAGAAACUAGUGUUUAAUUAAGGGAUAUCUUUUCACUUUGUUGGACCCCUGUGACAGCCUCCAUAAGAUUUGCCUUUGCUUGUGUUUCAUGGAGGAGCAAGAUCAAAGGUGGUACAGGGCCCAUCUUUCUUAAAGAGUAAUGAUAAUGUGAUGAUUUUGCUUAGAAGAAUAAUGCUGUGAUGACGAGAAGAGAGUGUGGUAAGGUAACACCAACACCAAUGGUAAAGAUUGACAGAUUUAUGCAUGAUUUGGAAGUAGGGUUUAGGCGUAUUGGCUAAUUUGAAAAUAGCCUAGAAUGACAAGGAUUGAGCAUGGAGGAGACAAUGGCUCUCUCUCUUGUGGUAUGAUUAUGUCUUGUUCGUGAUAAAGAGAUCGUCGACAGAAGAAAGGUAAAGAUAAGGUGAGGUGACCCUUCUACUUUGGGAAUGGGGUGAACCUAAAAGUCUCCUUGGAAGCAAUUAGGAUUCGAGUCUUUGAUGAGAAAUUAUAGCUGAAAUUAGUUUUUCAAAACACAUUUAGGUUAAAAAUAUAUAUAUAUAUUAGGUGAUUUUAUUAUGAAAAAACUAAAAUUAUAAAAAAACAAGUGAAGAAAUUAUUGAUCCAAAAAUAGAUAUUGAUUUAUCCAGAUUAAUUAUUUUUUGUUAAAAAAAAUUCUCAAAGUUGAAUUGGCUAACUGGUUUCACCUUGUGAUUUUUUUCAAUUAACUUAUUAUCUAGCAUAGGUUAGUCUUCGAGUCACGGUUAUUUUAUUAGAUCAAGUUUAGCGAUAAUGAAAAAACAUCAAAUCUAAAGUCUUUUUUAGCUCAAAUGUAUCUUUUUAUAUAUAAAAAAAAAAACACUCAUAAUAUAUAUAUUUAUCAAUAUUAUUAAACUUAAUUUCACUUAACACAUUAAUAUUUGAGCUGAGUUUUCUAUCAGACUAUGUUAAAAACUAACCUAGUCAAACCUGAUAGAUCAACCCGUUACGUGGCCGAGUUUAUUUCACCCUUUUCUAAAGAAUACAAUCUUAAGACAAUAAUUUUUUAAAAUUAACUAGAAUUAAUCCACUUAAUACAUGAUAAUCGAGUCUUAGACCGAGUGGUUUUAUAACCAUCAUGUUUCUUGAAAACACUGGCCGAGAGCAACGUCAGUGGCAAGUGGUUUGCAAUGCGAGGCAAAAGGAAACGCACCGAGUGAUACUUUUCACCGCACACAUUCUAAUCCAAUUUUUUAAAGUGGAGUGUUUUAAUUGGAAUACUGAUGCUAACACCUUUCUGAAGUAUAAUAAAGAAACGAAAUAAUCAAAAAGAUUAAAAAAUAACCCAGCAGGCUUGGCCAACAAUAUCAUAUAGUACUAGCAAGUCCUCUGAGAUUCUUCAAAUGCAAUGUGACUAUACAUGUGGCGAGCAGAGAAGCAAACUACAAGGAGACUUGUGUGUAUGAUUGAUUAGUAGCAUGGAGACUUGCUGCUAUCUGUGGAUGUACAUGAAAAGGGAACUCCUCAGGUUAGAAUUGUAAUAAUAUAUAUAUGGGGACAUGAAUGUAUCUUUUUCCCUCACAAUCCCAAGACAAAUUCUUGCCUAACUUUUAUUUUUUCUCUGCAAUUUCUUAUAUUGUGUUCCAUAUUGCAGCAGUUUUUGCAGUUGUGGUUUGAAAAGUUCAAGUCUAACGAGGCUCAAUAUACAUCUCCGGCCGCAAUCAACAGCAAAAACAAACAGAGAAGUUCAAACCCAGCUCAUUAUCCUCUUAAUAUUCUGCCCUUGAAAUCAAUACAUACAAUUACAUGCAAACACAGCUAGGACUAAAGUGUUGUGUGGUAAACAAGGUGGUGAUGGAAAGGGUGAAGGAGUGGAUGAUGAACAAGUCAAUGCCAACCUUCAUGCUUACCAAGUCUUUUCUUGAAGAUAGACCUGACAAACAACAAACAAACAACUCCAAACCCCAAAGCUGCCACUCCUCCAACUGCAAUGGCCACUGUCCUCUGUGUGCGCUGCCUGGUCCCUACAUCUAUAAAACACCACACACAUCACUAGCAUUAGAAGACUUUUAUUGUAUUAUGAUUUAUGAGGCAAUAAAUAAAACCCUAGGUUUCUUUUUCUUUGA